CUCUAGCCCCGAUAGCAGCGAAAAUCCUUUGGUGGCGGGGUUCGACACCAAAGAUUGUAGCGGAUAGCGGGACGAUGA
RNAcentral lists this small RNA (78 nucleotides) under Flavobacterium succinicans. Its description in RNAcentral is "Flavo-1 RNA". It matches the Rfam family "Flavo-1 RNA". Lineage: Bacteria; Pseudomonadati; Bacteroidota; Flavobacteriia; Flavobacteriales; Flavobacteriaceae. The record is from Rfam by way of RNAcentral.